Long non-coding RNA from Raphanus sativus (radish), 1209 nucleotides. RefSeq lists it as uncharacterized. The record is from RefSeq and is a predicted model, not a curated record. The transcript has 2 exons. Lineage: Eukaryota; Viridiplantae; Streptophyta; Magnoliopsida; Brassicales; Brassicaceae.
CAAUUCGUACGAAAAAAGCUAAUUGUGCUCAUCCGUCAUAUAUUUUUAGGUUAUAUCAUCUUUUCGAUCGUGUUAAGUUCUUGAUUUGUUCCUAUCUAUCUGCUGUGAUGAAAAAAUCGUGUUCCAGAGAUGUGUGCUUUUUGUUCAUCGUCACUGACGGUUAAACACAUCCCUCUAAGAAGUUCUGAGCUCUUUAUUCUUCUUUAGUUUAGCAAACAAAAAGUAUCGAAAUCCAGUAGUAGUUAUUAUAGGGAGUUAUAAGUCGAGGUGGCGAUAGAAAUUUCACAGGUCUGUCAAUCCCCUGAAACAUAUAAUGAUGUUAUUGUGAUAUCUCGACAGGUUCUGAUCGACUCAAUUCAAAAUUUAGAACUUUUUUUCGGUUUUUUUAUAUAUAUAUAUAUAAAAUGUUUUAAUGGAUCUGGGAAGAUGAUGAAUCUCAUAAAACAAAUGGGUAAUUUGCGACUGAUAUUAUAUUGAUGUCUAUUCACCUUGGAGAACUGAUUCUCAGAUUCAAAGUUUCUUGCUUUUUAUUAUUUGUUUUUACUGAUUUCAAGAAUCCUGGGCAUAUGAUGAAAUUAUAUUUCAUGGUUUUGUAUUUUCUCCCAAAGUUUUUUUGAAAACUGAAGGAUUGCUACAAAAGGAGAGAGCGAUGAUUAUGAUGAUGAUGAUGUUACCAUAGAACAAUCCAACUCUGACAUCUUCUGAUGAACUUUACAUCAUGCACUACCAUCUGAAUCUCGCUCUCCCUCUUUAUCUUUUAUUACAUGGUAAUUUUACUUGUUCAUAAACUGAUUCUGAAUCUUUUAGAAGUUGUAAUCGAUUUUGGUUAGAAGCAUAUGCACUAAUUAUUGCAGUUUAAAUGUUAUGAUUGUGGUUUUUCGAUUUGAUUAGAGGGAAAUACUUUGACAGAAUAUUCUGUCUUUGCAUGGUAAUCGUAGGAUUCUUUGGAAUGUGUUGUGGCUCAUCAACUUAGAAUGUAUGUUCUCUAGCUUAAGCCUUUACUCUAACGCCUGAAAGAACGAUGAGAUCUUGUAUGUGAGACUUUGUUGCUUGAAGUUUAUGAUUAGGUAUUCGAGGAAACACCCAUGUGGAUGAAGUAACAUGAAGAUGCAGUCACGACGUCAUUGGCGGAGAGUUACGUUUGGAGUUGCUUGUUUAAGAUUAUGUUAUUGUUGUUGUAUUAGCCAUUCAUCAUGCAAAGCUGUCAUC